RNAcentral lists this RNase MRP RNA (388 nucleotides) under Cylindrobasidium torrendii FP15055 ss-10. RNAcentral's name for it is "RNase MRP". It matches the Rfam family "RNase MRP". From Rfam's summary of the family: RNase MRP is an enzymatically active ribonucleoprotein with two distinct roles in eukaryotes. The record is from Rfam by way of RNAcentral. Lineage: Eukaryota; Fungi; Basidiomycota; Agaricomycetes; Agaricales; Physalacriaceae.
CCGCCGUGCGAAGAAUCGUCGUCGCAGCUUCCACACAGAUAGCCUCGAGCUUUCUCGUCUUUACCGCUGUGGGGAAAGUCCCCGGAGAAACAGAGGAUGUCCUUGUCCAAUUAACGGAAAGCGACCGGCACUAAGCGCGUCGGUACUGGACUAUGGACGGCGCGGGCGAGGUUGCCGCAGCGCUCGUUAGCGUCUGCAGCUCCUCCGCGCCACUCUGUCGUCUGGCGAUGCAACUGGUCGCCCACCAAGGUGGAUUUUGCGCGAAGAUACGAGCGUGUUUUCACUGGGUGGCUGGCUAGCAUGUCAAGACACUCGUUGCUCAUAGACAUAGUUAUGCGAUUGGGACCUUCGUGGUCUUUAACACAAUGGGGCUCACUCUCACUCGGCG